GGAGGAACACGAUGGAUGAAGAAGGAGUUGACGACGUCUAUGCGAGCUAGGAACGUCUUCCCAGUCAGUUGCUUGUAGGGUUAAGGCAGAUGACUUGGGCUCUACGCUGCUGAAGUGAUUCUGCUACUCUGAUGAUUAGAUUAGGCCCUUCGAGGCUAUCUUGUAAAGUUGGGUCAUGUGACUUUAUUGUAAUUUUCUUAUUCCGUUUUGUAAAGGAUGAUGUAAUUUGAUAUCAGUUCGGUUAUGUGUUCACGGCACACUGAUCAUGGGAACGUGAACUGUAUACAUAACAGGGUAUUUCGGACAGCUAGUCCGGGGUCCCCACAGAGCUGAUCUGUAACACCCCAACUUUUGCAACCUUGAUUAAUUGUCCAUAUUUCAAAAAUUAGGGGGAACAAAAACUUUUUCUA
This is a non-coding RNA of Lolium perenne, 410 nucleotides long. Lineage: Eukaryota; Viridiplantae; Streptophyta; Magnoliopsida; Poales; Poaceae. The record is from RefSeq and is a predicted model, not a curated record.